This 113-nucleotide ribosomal RNA is filed under the name Acanthosepion pharaonis. The record is from RNAcentral. Lineage: Eukaryota; Metazoa; Mollusca; Cephalopoda; Sepiida; Sepiidae.
UUACGCCCAUAUCAUGUUGAAACAUCGGUUCUUGUAUGAUCACUGAAGUUAAGCAACAUCAAGCCUGGUCAGUACCUAAAUGGGUGACUGCUUAUGAAUACCAGGUGCUGUAA